UGGGGAAUAUUGCGCAAUGGGGGAAACCCUGACGCAGCGACGCCGCGUGUGGGAUGAAGGUCUUCGGAUUGUAAACCACUGUCGCGAGGGACGAAGCUCUGACGGUACCUCGAAAGGAAGCACCGGCUAACUCUGUGCCAGCAGCCGCGGUAAUACAGAGGGUGCGAGCGUUGUCCGGAAUCACUGGGCGUAAAGGGCGCGUAGGCGGCCCGGUAAGUAGGGGGUGAAAUCUCAUGGCUCAACUGUGAGGCUGCCUUCUAGACUGCCAGGCUUGAGCACAGUAGAGGCGAGUGGAAUUCCCGGUGUAGCGGUGGAAUGCGUAGAGAUCGGGAAGAACAUCGGUGGCGAAGGCGGCUCGCUGGGCUGUUGCUGACGCUGAGGCGCGAAAGCGUGGGGAGCAAACAGGAUUAGAUACCCCUGUAGUCCCUUGAGCGGGCUGGCAAGGCGCAU
Molecule: ribosomal RNA, 450 nt
Filed under: uncultured bacterium
Lineage: Bacteria
Description: bacterial SSU rRNA
Rfam family: Bacterial small subunit ribosomal RNA
Source: RNAcentral